This is a non-coding RNA of Pelobates cultripes (western spadefoot toad), 230 nucleotides long. The record is from the annotation of a GenBank genome assembly. Lineage: Eukaryota; Metazoa; Chordata; Amphibia; Anura; Pelobatidae.
CAGCACCACUGGACCCCAGGGAAUAAUCCCCCCCAGCACUCCGAAAGGUAAGGAGGCUGGGGGGAUUAAAUUUGAAAAAAAAAAUGUGUGUGUGUGUGUGUUAGUGUGUGUUAGUGUAUUUGUGUGUGUGUGUUAGUGUAUUUGUGUGUGUUAGUGUAUUUGUGUGUGUGUGUUAGUGUAUGUGUGUGUUAGUGUGAGUGUAUGUGUGUUAGUGUAUGUGUGUGUUAGUG